CCGUCGGAGUAGCAGUUACACCGCGUCAAUCAAUCAUAACGGACACACAGAUUUCAAAGGCAGCAGGAUGAAAGAUAUGUGUCUGUGUUCAUCAAGACAUGAAGACUCUGGAGUGGGACAAGAGAAGGAUGAUGGGGUGUAUAUUCCAAUAGACACAUUAAGUCACAUUGUGAUUUCAGUGAAAGCAGAUAAAUACAGAGGGCUGGACAGUGGUUUCAUUCAUUAGGUAAAGAGGUGGGACAAGGAUGCUGACAGGACAGGAGGAGGUGACAUUCAGACAUUCAACGCAGCCAUUUUCAUCCAAAGCAACUUGAGGAAGAAAACAGAAGCAGUUCAUCCUAAAAGUGGGCUGCUGUAAUGUUUACAUCUAUGGAAAGAGGAGCUGAGAAGAAAAGAUAGGCUGGAAAGCAGUACUUCUUGUUGAGGACAAUCCUGAAUAAGAACACUUUCUC
Molecule: long non-coding RNA, 452 nt
Organism: Paramisgurnus dabryanus
Lineage: Eukaryota; Metazoa; Chordata; Actinopteri; Cypriniformes; Cobitidae
Source: RefSeq, a predicted model, not a curated record